UUGCAGCCAAUUAAGCUGACCAAGUAGGUCCCUUUCCCCCAUGGGCUUGACGUGCACUGAUCACAGAUUGCAGCUACCUUGGGACUGUAUGCAGCUUGGUGCCUACGUAGGCUGCACAGAGGGACCUUGGAGACAAUU
This 138-nucleotide small nucleolar RNA is filed under the name Mus spicilegus (steppe mouse). Its description in RNAcentral is "Small nucleolar RNA SNORA70 (ENSMSIG00000004736.1)". It matches the Rfam family "Small nucleolar RNA SNORA70". Rfam says of the family: snoRNA U70 seems to be exclusive to mammals and is a member of the H/ACA class of snoRNA which contain H (ANANNA) and ACA box motifs. H/ACA box snoRNAs are involved in the conversion of uridines to pseudouridines (5-ribosyluracil) a constituent of structural RNAs (transfer, ribosomal, small nuclear, and small nucleolar). The record is from Rfam by way of RNAcentral. Lineage: Eukaryota; Metazoa; Chordata; Mammalia; Rodentia; Muridae.